This 280-nucleotide ribosomal RNA is filed under the name uncultured bacterium. Its description in RNAcentral is "partial 16S ribosomal RNA". It matches the Rfam family "Bacterial small subunit ribosomal RNA", at positions 338 to 635 of the family's 1533-position model. The record is from RNAcentral.
CCUACGGGGGGCAGCAGUCGGGAAUUUUGCGCAAUGGGCGAAAGCCUGACGCAGCAACGCCGCGUGAGGGAUGAAGGCCUUCGGGUUGUAAACCUCUUUUCUCAGGGACGAUGAUGACGGUACCUGAGGAAUAAGCCACGGCUAACUACGUGCCAGCAGCCGCGGUAAUACGUAGGUGGCAAGCGUUGUCCGGAUUUACUGGGCGUAAAGAGCGCGCAGGCGGUCGUUCAAGUCGAGUGUGAAAGCCCCCGGCUCAACUGGGGAGGGUCACUCGAUACUG